CCGAUGCUGGAAUGCCCGGUAUCCCAAAGCUCCGGCGCCUUAGGAUGGAUCUGCGGCCGAUUAGGUCGUUGUUGGGGUAACGGCCCAACAAGCCGAUAAUCGGUACGGGUUGUGGGAGCAAGAGCCCGGAGUUGGAUUCUGAGACACGAAUCCAGGCCCUACGGGGCGCAGCAGGCGCGAAAACUUUACAAUGCGGGCAACCGUGAUAAGGGAACCUCGAGUGCCUGUACAUGCAGGCUGUCUGGGUGUCUAAAACACACCCAAAGAAAGGGCCGGGCAAGACCGGUGCCAGCCGCCGCGGUAAUACCGGCGGCUCGAGUGGUGGCCACUUUUAUUGGGCUUAAAGCGUUCGUAGCUGGGUUGUUAAGUCUCUUGGGAAAUCUGGCAGCUUAACUGUCAGGCGUCUAAGAGAUACUGGCAAUCUAGGAACCGGGAGAGGUGAGGGGUACUUCGGGGGUAGGAGUGAAAUCCUGUAAUCCUCGAGGGACCACCUGUGGCGAAGGCGCCUCACCAGAACGGCUUCGACAGUGAGGGACGAAAGCUGGGGGAGCAAACCGGAUUAGAUACCCGGGUAGUCCCAGCCGUAAACGAUGCGCGUUAGGUGUGUCGAUGACCACGAGUCAUCGAGGUGCCGAAGGGAAACCGUGAAACGCGCCGCCUGGGAAGUACGGUCGCAAGGCUGAAACUUAAAGGAAUUGGCGGGGGGAGCACCACAACAGGGUGGAGCCUGCGGGUUUAAUUGGACUCAACGCCCGGGAAGC
Molecule: ribosomal RNA, 761 nt
Filed under: Methanoculleus thermophilus
Lineage: Archaea; Methanobacteriati; Methanobacteriota; Methanomicrobia; Methanomicrobiales; Methanomicrobiaceae
Description: bacterial SSU rRNA
Rfam family: Archaeal small subunit ribosomal RNA
Source: RNAcentral